RNAcentral lists this ribosomal RNA (806 nucleotides) under uncultured bacterium. RNAcentral describes it as "bacterial SSU rRNA". It matches the Rfam family "Bacterial small subunit ribosomal RNA", at positions 93 to 912 of the family's 1533-position model. The record is from RNAcentral.
UAGUGGCGAACGGGUGAGUAACGCGUUGGUGACCUGCCCCGAAGCGGGGGAUAACAGUUCGAAAGGACUGCUAAUACCCCAUGUGGUCGUACAGGUUAGAGGCUGAACGACUAAAGGAGCAAUCCACUUCGGGAGGGGCCUGCGUCCCAUCAGCUAGUUGGUAAGGUAACGGCCUACCAAGGCGAUGACGGGUAGGGGACCUGAGAGGGUGGUCCCCCACACUGGCACUGAAACACGGGCCAGACACCUACGGGUGGCAGCAGUAGGGAAUAUUGCACAAUGGGCGAAAGCCUGAUGCAGCAACGCCGCGUGCGCGAAGAAGGCCUUCGGGUUGUAAAGCGCUUUUCUGGAGGAAGAGAAAGGACGGUACUCCAGGAAUAAGGAUCGGCUAACUACGUGCCAGCAGCCGCGGUAACACGUAGGAUCCGAGCGUUAUCCGAAUUUACUGGGCGUAAAGCGCGUGUAGGCGGCCGGGUAAGUUGGACGUGAAAGCUCCUGGCUCAACUAGGAGAGGUCGUUCAAAACUGCCUGGCUAGAGGGCGACAGAGGGAGGUGGAAUUCCCGGUGUAGUGGUGAAAUGCGUAGAUAUCGGGAGGAACCACCAGUGGCGAAGGCGGCCUCCUGGGUCGCUCCUGACGCUAAGACGCGAAAGCUAGGGGAGCAAACGGGAUUAGAUACCCCGGUAGUCCUAGCUGUAAACGAUGUGGACUUGGCGUUGGUGGUGUCAAAGCCAUCAGUGCCGUAGCUAACGCGAUAAGUCCACCGCCUGGGGACUACGACCGCAAGGUUAAAACUCAAAUGAAUUG